Long non-coding RNA from Cygnus olor (mute swan), 1090 nucleotides. RefSeq lists it as uncharacterized. Lineage: Eukaryota; Metazoa; Chordata; Aves; Anseriformes; Anatidae. The record is from RefSeq and is a predicted model, not a curated record. The transcript is spliced from 2 exons.
CAGAAAAAAAACCAGACAUCUAGUUUUUACACCCUCCCCAAAAAAGUAUCUGUAUCUUUAAAUCUGUUCAGAGAUUCUGCAAGAAUUCACAAUCACAAACAGGAGAAGACAGCUGGGUUUAUUUACUGGGAGACAAAUAGCUGGACAGAAUGCCUUAAUGCAAAUAAAAGCAAGAUAACUGUUUCUACUGUUUUGCUUCUUUCUGUUCAUGAGCACAAAAGUACAAACUAUCAACAGGCAAGAGAAGGUCACCCCACCAUACAAACUAUUGUUUUAGUGACUACCUUAAUCUCCCACAUUCUUGCACUAAAUCCUCUAUACCUGCUCAAAAUGAUGACAGAAGUAAAUUAAGUGUAUUUACCUCCCAAAAGUGAACUGCAACCUGGUUUAUCUCCCUUAAUUGGGCAGAAGGGGCCAUUGCACCCAUACUGAGAACAAAUCCAUUACACAAUACUGCAAGGAAAUGUCCUAAGCAAGGAAUUCACUUGUCAUGUUUUCCAAGUUGCAAUAAAUUUGAUCUUUCUGUGCAUCAUUUCCAGCCUUAUAUUGGAGGAAUAAAGGUCCAGAGGGAUCAGAAAUUCAGUAUUAGAAGUGGUUAGCAAUAACACCUGGAAUACUGAAACUGUCUAAAGUGAGUAUGAGAGAUUUGGAGCACUUCCUGGAACUUAGUGAUACGCUUUAACCAUCAGUUAAACAUUUAAAAGUUUCUGCACCUCAUGUUUUUUUGAAGUACUAAAACUUGGUAGAAAGGGAGGUCCAUGUAAGGCCUCUUUCAAUCAAAAAUAAGACUGGCUGGCUUCUUAUGGCUACAUUUGGAGCUUCGUAUCCUGUUUUGGGCCCCAACAAGUCUGACAAACUGGAACACAUCCAGGAGAUACCACCAAGACUGUCAGAGACUGGAGUAGGCAGCGUCCAAAGAGAGGGUGCAGGAAUGAGGUUUGUUCAGCCUGGAGAACUAAAACCAAAGGGAGAGCCUUCUGCUACUUGCAGUUAUGCUGAAGGGUUCUUACACAGAGGACUGAGUCAGACUCUUCAAAGACCCAUUCUUUGAGGAGCAAUGGGUUCAAGUCACGGCAAGAGAAAUUUCAAC